GCAACUUGGAGAAGUAGGAAGUUUUAUAAUUAAUAGGAAUUCGCUAUUUAUAUAAAAUUAAUUUAGAAUUGAAUAAAGCUUUGUUUAUAUAUUGAUAAUGACGAUAUAUUUAUCGUGUCUUGACCAAUUACGUGCCAGCAGUCGCGGUAAUACGUAAGAGACUAGUGUUAUUCAUCUUAAUUAGGUUUAAAGGGUACUCAAACGGUCAAUAUAUCAUUUAGAUUGUUAGUACUUGACUAGAGUUUUAUGUAAGAGGGCAGUACUUGAGGAGUAGAGAUUAAAUUCCGUGAUACCAAAGGGACUCGGUAAAGGCGCAGGCAGCCCUCUAUGUACAAACUGACGUUGAAGGACGAAGGCACAGAGAACAAAAAGGAUUAGAGACCCAAGUAGUCUUUGCAGUAAAUGAUGAAUGCCAUAGGUCAGAAAGAUAUAUUGUAUAUCAGUAAUUUUUGGUCUAUAAAUGAAAAUGUAAGCAUUUCACCUCAAGAGUAACGUGGCAACGCAGGAACUGAAAUCACUAGACCG
Molecule: ribosomal RNA, 525 nt
Filed under: Penicillifer bipapillatus
Lineage: Eukaryota; Fungi; Ascomycota; Sordariomycetes; Hypocreales; Nectriaceae
Description: SSU rRNA
Rfam family: Bacterial small subunit ribosomal RNA
Source: RNAcentral